GACGAACGCUGGCGGCGUGCUUAACACAUGCAAGUCGAACGGAAAGGCCCUGCUUUUGUGGGGUGCUCGAGUGGCGAACGGGUGAGUAACACGUGAGUAACCUGCCCUUGACUUUGGGAUAACUUCAGGAAACUGGGGCUAAUACCGGAUAGGAGCUCCUGCUGCAUGGUGGGGGUUGGAAAGUUUCGGCGGUUGGGGAUGGACUCGCGGCUUAUCAGCUUGUUGGUGGGGUAGUGGCUUACCAGGGGUUUGACGGGUAGCCGGCCUGAGAGGGUGACCGGCCACAUUGGGACUGAGAUACGGCCCAGACUCCUACGGGAGGCAGCAGUGGGGAAUAUUGCACAAUGGGCGGAAGCCUGAUGCAGCAACGCCGCGUGCGGGAUGACGGCCUUCGGGUUGUAAACCGCUUUCGCCUGUGACGAAGCGUGAGUGACGGUAAUGGGUAAAGAAGCACCGGCUAACUACGUG
Molecule: ribosomal RNA, 468 nt
Filed under: uncultured bacterium
Lineage: Bacteria
Description: partial 16S ribosomal RNA
Rfam family: Bacterial small subunit ribosomal RNA
Source: RNAcentral